AGUGAACGCUGGCGGUAGGCCUAACACAUGCAAGUCGAACGGCAGCACAGUAAGAGCUUGCUCUUACGGGUGGCGAGUGGCGGACGGGUGAGGAAUACAUCGGAAUCUACUUUUUCGUGGGGGAUAACGUAGGGAAACUUACGCUAAUACAGCAGACGACCUACGGGUGAAAGCAGGGGAUCUUCGGACCUUGCGCGAUUGAAUGAGCCGAUGUCGGAUUAGCUAGUUGGCGGGGUAAAGGCCCACCAAGGCGACGAUACGUAGCUGGACUGAGAGGAUGAUCGGCCACACUGGAACUGAGACACGGUCCAGGCUCCUACGGGAGGCAGCAGUCGGGAAUAUUGGGCAAUGGGCGCAAGCCUGAUCCAGCCAGACCGCGUGGGUGAAGAAGGCCUUCGGGUUGUAAAGCCCUUUUGUUGGGAAAGAAAAGCAGCAGGUUAAUACCCCGCUGUUCUGACGGUACCCAAAGAAUAAGCACCGGCUAACUUCGUG
This 492-nucleotide ribosomal RNA is filed under the name uncultured bacterium. RNAcentral's name for it is "partial 16S ribosomal RNA". It matches the Rfam family "Bacterial small subunit ribosomal RNA", at positions 29 to 507 of the family's 1533-position model. The record is from RNAcentral.